AUUGAACGCUGGCGGCAGGCCUAACACAUGCAAGUCGAGCGGAUGAAGGGAGCUUGCUCCUGGAUUCAGCGGCGGACGGGUGAGUAAUGCCUAGGAAUCUGCCUGGUAGUGGGGGAUAACGUCCGUAAACGGGCGCUAAUACCGCAUACGUCCAGAGGGUGAAAGUGGGGGAUCUUCGGACCUCACGCUAUCAGAUGAGCCUAGGUCGGAUUAGCUAGUUGGUGGGGUAAAGGCCUACCAAGGCGACGAUCCGUAACUGGUCUGAGAGGAUGAUCAGUCACACUGGAACUGAGACACGGUCCAGACUCCUACGGGAGGCAGCAGUGGGGAAUAUUGGACAAUGGGCGAAAGCCUGAUCCAGCCAUGCCGCGUGUGUGAAGAAGGUCUUCGGAUUGUAAAGCACUUUAAGUUGGGAGGAAGGGCAGUAAGUUAAUACCUUGCUGUUUUGACGUUACCAACAGAAUAAGCACCGGCUAACUUCGUG
This 484-nucleotide ribosomal RNA is filed under the name uncultured bacterium. RNAcentral's name for it is "partial 16S ribosomal RNA". It matches the Rfam family "Bacterial small subunit ribosomal RNA", at positions 30 to 507 of the family's 1533-position model. The record is from RNAcentral.